This 432-nucleotide unclassified non-coding RNA is filed under the name soil metagenome. RNAcentral's name for it is "partial contains 5.8S ribosomal RNA, internal transcribed spacer 2, and large subunit ribosomal RNA". The stretch from base 1 to 120 matches the Rfam family "5.8S ribosomal RNA", at positions 35 to 154 of the family's 154-position model. The record is from RNAcentral.
GAUGAAGAACGUAGCGAAAUGCGAUACGUAAUGUGAAUUGCAGAAUUCAGUGAAUCAUCGAAUCUUUGAACGCAUAUUGCGCUCUCUGGUAUUCCGGAGAGCAUGCUUGUUUGAGUAUCAGUAAACACCUCAACUCCCCUUUCUUUUUUUGAAAUGGGAGCUGGACUUGAGUGAUCCCAACGCUUUUCUCACCGAAAAGUGGCGGGUUACUUGAAAUGCAGGUGCAGCUGGACUUUUCUCUGAGCUAAAAGCAUAUCUAUUUAGUCUGCCUAAAAAACAGAUUAUUACCUUUGCUGCAGCUAACAUAAAGGAGAUUAGUUCUUGUGCUGACUGAUGCAGGAUUCACAGAGACAGCUUCGGCCGACUUUGUAAACUCGAUCUCAAAUCAAGUAAGACUACCCGCUGAACUUAAGCAUAUCAAUAAGCGGAGGA